AAAUAAGAAGCAUUAAAAUGCUUUUAGUUUCGACCUAAAUGACUGGCUGGCGGGCCCUUAUUUA
RNAcentral lists this transfer RNA (64 nucleotides) under Cucujoidea sp. 34 KM-2017. RNAcentral describes it as "tRNA-Arg". Lineage: Eukaryota; Metazoa; Arthropoda; Insecta; Coleoptera. The record is from RNAcentral.